This 519-nucleotide long non-coding RNA is filed under the name Mytilus galloprovincialis (Mediterranean mussel). The record is from RNAcentral. Lineage: Eukaryota; Metazoa; Mollusca; Bivalvia; Mytilida; Mytilidae.
GUGGUUGUCGUUUGUUUAUGUGUUACAUAUUUUUUUUUUCGUUCAUUUUUUACAUAAAUGAGGCCGUUAGUUUUCUCGCUUGAAUUGUUUUACAUUGUCUUAUCGGGGCCUUUUAUAGCUGACUAUGCGGUAUGGGCUUUGCUCAUUGUUGAAGGCCGUACGGUGACCUAUAGUUGUUAAUGUUUGUGUCAUUUUGGUCUUUUGUGGAUGGUUGUCUCAUUGGCAAUCAUACCAUAUCUUCUUUUUUAUAUCAUGUUGUACCGUUAUACCACUGUCCCAGGUUAGGAGGAGGAUUAUGAUCCCGCGAACAUGAUUAACCCCGUUACAUUAUUUAUGUAUGUGCUUGUUCCAUGCCAGGAGCCUGUAAUUCAGUGGUUGUCGUUUGUUUAUAUGUUACAUAUUUGUUUUUCGUUCAUUUCUUUAUAUAAAUAAGGCCGUUAGUUUUCUGGUUUGAAUUGUUUUACAUUGUCACAUCGGGGCCUUGUAUAGCUGACUAUGCGGUAUAUGCUUUGCUCAUUG